RNAcentral lists this ribosomal RNA (591 nucleotides) under uncultured bacterium. RNAcentral describes it as "partial 16S ribosomal RNA". It matches the Rfam family "Bacterial small subunit ribosomal RNA", at positions 355 to 941 of the family's 1533-position model. The record is from RNAcentral.
UGGGGAAUUUUGGACAAUGGGCGAAAGCCUGAUCCAGCAAUGCCGCGUGUGUGAAGAAGGCCUUCGGGUUGUAAAGCACUUUUGUCCGGAAAGAAAUGGCUCUGGUUAAUACCUGGGGUCGAUGACGGUACCGGAAGAAUAAGGACCGGCUAACUACGUGCCAGCAGCCGCGGUAAUACGUAGGGUCCAAGCGUUAAUCGGAAUUACUGGGCGUAAAGCGUGCGCAGGCGGUUGUGCAAGACCGAUGUGAAAUCCCCGAGCUUAACUUGGGAAUUGCAUUGGUGACUGCACGGCUAGAGUGUGUCAGAGGGGGGUAGAAUUCCACGUGUAGCAGUGAAAUGCGUAGAGAUGUGGAGGAAUACCGAUGGCGAAGGCAGCCCCCUGGGAUAACACUGACGCUCAUGCACGAAAGCGUGGGGAGCAAACAGGAUUAGAUACCCUGGUAGUCCACGCCCUAAACGAUGUCAACUGGUUGUUGGGGAUUCAUUUCCUUAGUAACGUAGCUAACGCGUGAAGUUGACCGCCUGGGGAGUACGGUCGCAAGAUUAAAAGCUCAAAUGAUUGACGGGGGCUGCAUAGCUGUUUUCCUAG